This 506-nucleotide ribosomal RNA is filed under the name uncultured bacterium. Its description in RNAcentral is "partial 16S ribosomal RNA". It matches the Rfam family "Bacterial small subunit ribosomal RNA", at positions 28 to 523 of the family's 1533-position model. The record is from RNAcentral.
GGUGAACGCUGGCGGUAGGCCUAACACAUGCAAGUCGAACGGCAGCACAGGAGAGCUUGCUCUCUGGGUGGCGAGUGGCGGACGGGUGAGGAAUACAUCGGAAUCUACUCUGUCGUGGGGGAUAACGUAGGGAAACCUACGCUAAUACCGCAUACGACCUACGGGUGAAAGCAGGGGACCUUCGGGCCUUGCGCGAUUGAAUGAGCCGAUGUCGGAUUAGCUAGUUGGCGGGGUAAAGGCCCACCAAGGCGACGAUCCGUAGCUGGUCUGAGAGGAUGAUCAGCCACACUGGAACUGAGACACGGUCCAGACUCCUACGGGAGGCAGCAGUGGGGAAUAUUGGACAAUGGGCGCAAGCCUGAUCCAGCCAUACCGCGUGGGUGAAGAAGGCCUUCGGGUUGUAAAGCCCUUUUGUUGGGAAAGAAAUCCAGCUGGCUAAUACCCGGUUGGGAUAACGGUACCCAAAGAAUAAGCACCGGCUAACUUCGUGCCAGCCGCCGCCGUAA